GGGCCUGUAGCUCAGUUGGUUAGAGCAGAGGACUCAUAAUCCUUUGGUCGUCGGUUCAAGUCCGACCGGGCCCA
RNAcentral lists this transfer RNA (74 nucleotides) under Paraperlucidibaca baekdonensis. RNAcentral describes it as "Moraxellaceae bacterium RL-2 tRNA". It matches the Rfam family "tRNA". Rfam says of the family: Transfer RNA (tRNA) molecules are approximately 80 nucleotides in length. Their secondary structure includes four short double-helical elements and three loops (D, anti-codon, and T loops). Further hydrogen bonds mediate the characteristic L-shaped molecular structure. tRNAs have two regions of fundamental functional importance: the anti-codon, which is responsible for specific mRNA codon recognition, and the 3' end, to which the tRNAs corresponding amino acid is attached (by aminoacyl-tRNA synthetases). tRNAs cope with the degeneracy of the genetic code in two manners: having more than one tRNA (with a specific anti-codon) for a particular amino acid; and 'wobble' base-pairing, i.e. permitting non-standard base-pairing at the 3rd anti-codon position. The record is from Rfam by way of RNAcentral. Lineage: Bacteria; Pseudomonadati; Pseudomonadota; Gammaproteobacteria; Moraxellales; Moraxellaceae. RNAcentral also lists the same sequence under 1 other name.